The submitters of this non-coding RNA (92 nucleotides) gave its source as unclassified sequences. The record is from Rfam.
GCGCUACAUCAAGAAUACUUAAGUGUAUACCAACCGAACGAUAACGGUGGUUUAACGAUGUGGGCAUCCUAGUCAAAGUCGAUUCUCAUAAU